GCCGCCGUAGCUCAGCCGGUAGAGCGCCGGCCUCGUAAGGGUUAAACCAAGAAAGCCGGUGGUCGCGGGUUCAAAUCCCGCCGGCGGCU
Molecule: non-coding RNA, 89 nt
Organism: Acidianus hospitalis W1
Lineage: Archaea; Thermoproteati; Thermoproteota; Thermoprotei; Sulfolobales; Sulfolobaceae
Source: Rfam